Molecule: long non-coding RNA, 647 nt
Filed under: Ananas comosus (pineapple)
Lineage: Eukaryota; Viridiplantae; Streptophyta; Magnoliopsida; Poales; Bromeliaceae
Description: long non-coding RNA (ACOM_LNC033577)
Source: RNAcentral
UCCGACCGUCAAUAAUACAAGUGGCAAAUAGAUUGAUGAUCGAUACCCCAAGUUUAAAGUUCAAAUUUUAGUUGAUUUAUAUUUUCGGUUUUAGAGUGUGCUUGGUUCCACAUAAAAUUGUAGAAAAAAAAUUUUUAGUGGAAAAAAAUUUUUCGUCGUUUGUGUUUGGUUUGUAGGAAAAAGAAAAUAGUUUUUCGUAACGGUUGUUUGGUUAAAAAGAAAAGAAAAAAAAAUUAAUAUAUUUUUUAUUAUAUAUAUAUAUAUAUAUAUAUUAUAUAUUAUUAAUAUAUAAUAAUUAUCAUAAUAUAUUUAAUUAUUAUAAUUUAUAUUUAUAAACAAAAUAUAUUAUAUAAUAAAUAUGUAAUAUAAUAUAUAUAUAUAUAUAUAUAUAUAGAACUAGGCUGGAAUACUAUCAAUAGCACCAAGUUGUUGGUACUAUUAGUUUUUUAGUCCUUGGAUUGAGAAAUGUGCGGUUAGGAUCAUGUGGGCCCUCUAGGGUUGAGUGGAUGGUUGGUUGAAUAGUAUAAUCUGACGGGUAAAAAUAAUCAAAGGGAUUAAUCUAACGGCAGAAAACUUGAUAGCACCAAGUGUUUGGUGCUAUCGAUAGCAUAGCAGCCGGACUCUAUAUAUAUAUAUAUAUAUAGGUG